UUUUUUUUUUUUUUUUUUUUUUUUUUUUUGAAUUACAAACUGGUCUUUCAACUACGUGAAAAUCCAACUCCCCAUAAAAGACUUCUUGCAGUCAUUUUCAGUUAAAAGAGAAUAGUGGGAGGUAUUGAAAUGAGAAGAAAUGAUUAGUUAUAAGGUCCAAUUUGUUUUAUCUGUGACACAGUAUUUAUUUUGUUUCCAUUUUAAUACUUUGAGUUGCACACAUGGAGUGGAGUUUCAUAAGGUAGAUGGCAAAUAUUUCAACUCAUCAUAAACUAGUACACUUAACGGAAAAGGUUACAUUUUUAAAAAAUUUAUACUAUCGAUAGAUCUCUUUGUUCCUCGAUGAGAUAAUUAUUUUAUAUUUUUCUCCUGCUAGUUUCAGGCAUCCACUGAUAUUCUACACUUACUAUUACCCUCUCAUUCAAUUUACUUCAUGGACUUUAUUGUCACAGACUUAGGCAUCCAUAUUAGAGAUGGUGUUCUUGAAGGGAUGCAUCCCAUGGUAACUGAUGGGGAAAAAUAGUCACAGAUUUGUUUCAUUUUCAUGUCUUCCCUUUAACAACUGCCAAAUACUUCAUAAAAUAUAAUUGUUUUCAUGGGUGACCUGAGUUCUCUGAGAAAACAAGACAUUUUACCACAUAAUUAAAAUAAUCACAUUAAAAAUACCUUUUAUUGAGUCUGCUAUUAUUAUCAUUAAUUAUUAAUCUUCUCCCUAUAAGGUGUUUUAUAAAAAUGAAAUGGAAUACACCUUAACAUAUUUAUAUAUUGCAAAGCCCCUACAUGGAAUCUUUUACUAAUUUAACACGGUUUAUUGAAUGCCUACUCUGUACCAAGCACUGUUCUAGACACUGAAGAUCUGGCAGUGCACAGGGGCAGUUCCUAAGUUCACAGUCAAGGGGCGAGGGGAAACAGGCAAGUUAAGAGGCAAUUAGGACACCGAAUGAUGAGGGCUUUGCUCAGAAAGGUACCGAUGCUCUAGAAGCUCGUGGUCAAGGUGCCUCUUCAGGAUGUACUGCCAAUGAAUGCUUCCAGAGCACAUCAUACCCAGGCUGAAACUUGAAAGAGAAAUAUAAAUAGCUAGGCUGACAGGAGAAGAGAGAAUAAGAAAAGAGGGAAGAAGGUUCCAGUCAAAGAAAAUAAUCUGUUCAAGGCCCAGAACUGGGAGAGCACAUGACAUGGUAUUCACUGCAGGUCAAGGGUAAAAUCUAAGGGGAAGGGGAGAGGGCAAGUGAGGAAGUAACAGAGGGUUCGUCAGGAGGUGGAAGCAAAGAGCGAGAAAGGCCUUUGAUUCCUGUUGAAGAAUUAGACCAUAUCCUGGGGGCAAUGAGAAAUCACUGCAGGACUCUAAGCAGCCUUGUGACAUGAUUAGAUCUCCUAUUAGACACAGGCAGGUUCUUCUAGAGCUGAACAUACUAGAAAGGAGUCCCUCAGAAAUCUUGAUAAGAGAUAAGGGUAGCUUGAACUAUUGCAGUGGCAGGUGGUAAAAAGAUUUGUGUAUGUGUGUGUCUGUGCAUGAUUACAAUAGCCAUCAUUUUUUGUCCGAAUAAUCAGAGGGAAGAGAUCUAAUCUAUAAAACAUUUUCGUUGCCAUCAUGGAUAGCACACAAAGACAGUUUCUUUUUUAUUUUAUUUUAUUAUAAGCUCAGGGAUACAUGUGCAGGACAUGCAGAUUUGCUACAUAAGUAAACAUGUACC
This is a long non-coding RNA of Macaca fascicularis (crab-eating macaque), 1694 nucleotides long. The record is from Ensembl. NCBI's taxonomy places the organism in Eukaryota, Metazoa, Chordata, Mammalia, Primates, Cercopithecidae.